This 66-nucleotide transfer RNA is filed under the name Questa ersei. RNAcentral's name for it is "tRNA-Ile". Lineage: Eukaryota; Metazoa; Annelida; Polychaeta; Questidae. The record is from RNAcentral.
CCCCGGAUNCCAAAUUAUAUGGAUAGCACUGAUACGGCUAAAUAUGGUAUGUCAUACCUCCUCCCC